Molecule: ribosomal RNA, 470 nt
Filed under: uncultured bacterium
Lineage: Bacteria
Description: partial 16S ribosomal RNA
Rfam family: Bacterial small subunit ribosomal RNA
Source: RNAcentral
GAUGAACGCUGGCGGCGUGCUUAACACAUGCAAGUCGAACGGACAGCCAGGGAGCUUGCUCCCUUCACGUCAGUGGCGAACGGGUGAGUAACACGUGAACAAUCUGCCUCGAACUCUGGGAUAAGCUCGGGAAACGGCGUCUAAUACCGGAUAAGAUGCUGGAGCGCAUCGUCCCCUCGUGGAAAGCGGUUCUGGUGGGGCUGAGCGCGGGGUCUAUCAGCUUGUGGGUGAGGGAACGGUUCACCAAGGACGCGACGGGUAGCCGGCCUGCGAGGGGGACCGGCCACAAUGGGACUGAGAGAGGGCCCAGACUCCUACGGGAGGCAGCAGUGGGGAAUAUUGCACAAUGGGCGCAAGCCUGAUGCAGCAACGCCGCGUGCGGGAAGACGGCCUUCGGGUUGUAAACCUCUUUUAGCAGGGAAGAAGCGGAAGUGACGGUACCUGCAGAAAAAGCACCGGCUAACUACGUG